UCCUUCGAUGUCUCUCUUCUCUUAUCAUCUCAUCUCAGAGAAAAAAGGUUGAGUUGCUUUUUAGGGGAAACAAGGAGAGUGAAACCAAUGAUGGCGGUGAGCUCAAAACCACCGAUCAUACCUUCGACGAUGGUUAUGGGCUUCGAUUCUUCUCAGCGUUUCCGAUUUCGGGCGGUUUCUAAGGUUACGAUUGUGGACAAUGGUUUUCUGAUCUCCAGGCGGAAGGAGGAAGAUGGAGCAAGGUUUGGUGGACUCGAGUUUGAGUUGGAUAAACUCAGGUGUUAUUGGUUGUUAUAUAUAUUUUUUUUAUUUCAUUUCUAGAAUUUUUUUUAUUGUUGUUGAUGUUUGUUUGUGGUUUAUGGAAUUGAUGGAAUUUUACUUUGAUUGAUUGAGAAACAAGAUCAGUUGAAGUUAGGCGAUUUUUUUGUGAAAUUCGAACUUAGUAUUAGUCUCCCUUGAUUAUAGUUCUGUUGGUUGUUUUUUUGGAACAUGUUUAGAGUGUUUUUAUCUUUGAUUUGCAUGAUUUGGUGUUCUCAUUUUGUGAAUUUUAUGAUGUUUGUGUCAUAUGUUAUAUGCUUUAUGUAGAUAUGAGCUAAUUUGGGUAGGCUGGUUUUGAGAAAUGGGAGAUCUUGAGAUGAUUAUCCACCUUUUGGGGCAAAUUGAAGAGCAAGUGAGUGAUUUUCUUAUCCUGAAUUGACUAUUAAAUUGUUGGGUUCGUGGGGUUUUUUCUGGUGCUGAUUGCAUUGGGCAAUUGUUCUCAUUCAUCCUUUGUCUUCUUCUCGCUCAUACCUUGCCAAAGUAGGGGCUUUCUGAAUUAUGGUAUGCUUUUCCUCUCCCCCCCCAUCCUCCCUUCCUCCCUUUUUGGGUAGGGUGUUUCUGCUCAGGUACAUGUGUCAAAGUGUUUUAAUACAUCGUUUUUAGGUUGGUUUGUAUGUAUUUGGGAGGAAUGUCUGUGUACAGAUUUGUCUAUGUCCAAGUAUUAGCUUUUUAACUUUAAUGCAUCAUAUUAUUGGUCCAAAACAAGUGUUAGUUAUCUACAACUCCUUGUUAUUGUCUGAAUAUUUAGUCAUAUGCUAUUAAGAGUCACAACUUGCAUGUAGCUACUCUUGUCACCUCCUGUUUGAAAAGUGAAAAAAAAAAUGCAUUUAACCUCACACUCACUCUCAUCCUCACGGGCCUCACCCCCUCACAGUUACAGUCAAGUGCUGAACUGUCAUCUUUUUCCAUACUUUACCAUGAUAGAAAUGCAUAAUCCUCUAUUUCUUAUAAUUUUGCAGGUUGUAAAUAGAUUUUUGUUUUAAAUUUGUUAUGGUGGAUUGAAUUGAUUUUUUGCUGUUGCCCUCUUCACGUCCAAACUACAGUCAAUGUUGAUAUUACCGGACUCCUGGGAAGCAAGGAUUUUCUCUUGGUUAUCUCUUAGUCCUUAAAUUUGCUUUGGGUUUUGUAUUUUAAUGCUUAUUUUUCUAUCAAAUGCGUGCAAAUUUUGGUUUUAGUUUAGGCAUAUUGUGGCUUAACCGCCUUUGUUCUAAGCUGCAAGUCUUUUCAGAUUUAGCUGUGCAAUUGUUUAGUUAAUUGAAUUUUUUUCUAAGAUUUGUUUGGAUUCUUAAUAGACUUGGUUUAUGUUUAAGCAAUUUGUUUGUGUGACUGUUAUUAAUUGUGAAAGGUUUUAUUGUAAAUUAGAUUUCUUUAUUUCAUCUAAAGAAAUAGUUUAAAUUUGGUAAUAUGGAAUGGCUGAAAGGUUCACUUGCUUAUUCUUUGUAAACGUCUUCAGGCAAAAGCUAUGCAUGAUGCUUGCUGCUCUUACUGCAACCUAUGUCAAGUGUUUAAUGUUGUUAUAAGUAGUUUGGUUUACUGCUGAAAUGCUUAGGUUCUUGGAAUGCAGUUCAAGAACCGUUGCAGACCAAUCCAGAUCUAGAGGAGGGUUUUUGCUGAGCUCUGUUGUGCCGUUUAUGGUUUCGUAAGGUCUUACCUUAUAUACUCUUGCUACUUUUAUAGAUUCCCCUGAUUGCCAAUCUUACAUCAGACCAUCAAGAGAAAUGUGACGAGAGAUUUGAGUGUUGUGCUAUUUUGGAUUUUUUUUUUUUUUUUGCUCUGCCACUUAAGCUUGUAUACAGUAUAAUACAAUGGCCCUGGAUGUUUUUCGUUAUUUUCCUUCUCUGCAUAUAUUGAGAGGACAAUCGUUCUUAUUGAUGCCUUUAAUCUUUCAUGUCUAUAAGUCUAUUUAUUUACGGAAGACAUCAAGCUCUGCAAUAUUCUUCGGAAUCCAUGCCUCUAUUUCUGUUGCUGUGUGCUAAUGCAUGUGUAAAAUUUGUUUUGAUUGUAAUACCCGAUACAAAUUCGCUAACAUAGUGACUAAAUUGCAAUUUUCAGGGAAGGUACAGCUUUUGCUUAAGAAUUUAUUGGCAUAUAAUAAUAUUUUGCCUCAAAAUUUUGUUCAAUUUGAUGGCUGCAUUAAUUAAUCAAACCUACAGUGUAAUGAGACUUCAUUUUUCAUUGUGUGUUGCAGCAUUACUACCACCUUCUUAUGUGCUUGAAGGAACCCCAAGGCAAAGGCUUUGAGUUGGCAAGAAAAAAUAUUUUAUCUAGCUUAUUACAACUGGAACAAAUGCAAAAAUCAGCUGAGUUUCUGAGGUCUAUAGGAUGCUUGACAAUAUUGUUUUGCGGAAGCCAGAAGGAGGAAGACGGAGCAAGGUUUGAUGGAUCUUGUUUUAGAGACAUUAUGUUGGACCCUGUUGUUUUAUCUACUAGCUAGGGCAUAAAGUGAAGAAAAUCAGGAGGAAGGAAGAGAAAGAAAGAGAGAGGUUUGGAUCUUAGAGAAUCCCGGCCAUGGUGCGUAAUUUUUCAUUUCUAGCUGCACACGUUGGAGAAUUACAGGGGUUGGUGGUCAUGAUUGAAUUAAAGAAGAUAUUCUUGACCGAGUCGUCAAUAUUCAUGCCCAGCUGAGUUCAUUUGAAUCUAAUUCAAUGUACAAGAAGCUUCUGUCAAGUGUUAACUUGACGAAGGAUUUUAUUUUUACAGCUAUACAAAUCCAAUUAUACAAAGCUUGCAAAAAAAAAAUAUAUGUGCAGCUGAAGGAUUUGGUUGGAAUCGGUUCAUGGGCUUUUUAAGCAAGAAGUCACCGUCGAGAAGAUGUCAAAAUGGAGAGAAGAAGACUAGAGGUCAUUGUUGAGAAGCUGAUAUUCGGGUAUGUUUUGUUCAAGAACGUGGGCUUCCAAGCUUUUUUAACUCCAUUGAAGUUGAGAGAAUGCUUUAGGUGUCGACAAUAAUUGGUAUAUAAAGUAAUCAUCUUAGUAAACAAGGGUGAUGUAGCCCUUUAUUGUUUGAUUUUGUAAUUAUAAACAUUUGUGUCGUAAUAUGUUUAGUUGUUAACUACUACUUAGACCAAUGUUCUAUAGGAAAAUGUACAUGGAAAUAACUCAAUAGUCAAUAAAUUUGCCUAAUUGCAAAGAGUUAUGUUUUUUUGAAUGUAA
Molecule: long non-coding RNA, 3470 nt
Organism: Chenopodium quinoa (quinoa)
Lineage: Eukaryota; Viridiplantae; Streptophyta; Magnoliopsida; Caryophyllales; Amaranthaceae
Exons: 6
Source: RefSeq, a predicted model, not a curated record